RNAcentral lists this ribosomal RNA (407 nucleotides) under Acidobacteriota bacterium. Its description in RNAcentral is "Acidobacteria bacterium partial 16S ribosomal RNA". It matches the Rfam family "Bacterial small subunit ribosomal RNA", at positions 355 to 776 of the family's 1533-position model. The record is from RNAcentral. Lineage: Bacteria; Pseudomonadati; Acidobacteriota.
UGGGGAAUAUUGGGCAAUGGGCGCAAGCCUGACCCAGCAACGCCGCGUGAAGGAAGAAGGCUUUCGGGUUGUAAACUUCUUUUGUCGGGGACGAAACAAAUGACGGUACCCGACGAAUAAGCCACGGCUAACUACGUGCCAGCAGCCGCGGUAAUACGUAGGUGGCAAGCGUUAUCCGGAUUUACUGGGUGUAAAGGGCGUGUAGGCGGGAUUGCAAGUCAGAUGUGAAAACUGGGGGCGCAACCUCCAGCCUGCAUUUGAAACUGUAGUUCUUGAGUGCUGGAGAGGCAAUCGGAAUUCCGUGUGUAGCGGUGAAAUGCGUAUAUAUACGGAGGAACACCAGUGGCGAAGGCGGAUUGCUGGACAGUAACUGACGCUGAGGCGCGAAAGCGUGGGGAGCAAACAGG